AGAGGAAGUUGAGAGUUUAACAACAGAUUGCCUGUGCUCUGACACAACUGAGUCUACAUAUCACUUGUUUGCACUGUUCCUUAUUCUGACAAGAGGUCAUAAGGAUUAAACAACAACAAAAUGUCACAAGUUUCUGCAGUUCUUAAUAAAACUCUUAUAAGGAAAACAAACUCAGACGACACAAUCACACAAAUCUUAUUCCAUUGCCAUGUUUGAUCUGACACAAAAAAAAAACACUAAGCCUGAAAUCUCAGGGCAUGGACAUCGUUCAUGGUGAUGGAGCGGAAGCAUGACCUCCCACUCCGUGGAUGGCGACAAUGGGACUACGCACAACAUGCAUUUUCGACACCCAGCUCAAGCUUCCCUCCACAAAGAUUUCCGAUGCACCCACGCCUUGGCAGCUCACCGUCACGCUGAACGUCUUCUUUUCUCCAGCCUUGGAGAACACCAGUGUCUUUGGGGAGACAUGCAAUGUCAUAGAGCUUGGCGAGUUUACCUUAGCAGCGUAUGUAGAAUCUGCCGGCCCAACGUUCGUCACCGUCCGGGUCACGGUGAACGGCGUUGAUGCUAGCGGCACAGUUAGAGUAGGGUAGUUGAGCUGAACGUCCUUGACCUUGGGCAGCUUCGCGCAGGUCAGGCUCGAGUUGCGUACGAUGGUCACCAAGCCUUCCUCGCCAAGGAGCCAGCAGAUGUAACCUGCAUAGUCGGUUACACCGAGGUCAUACACCAAACCUGGGUCAGCAGCCCUCGCCGGGUUCACAUGGCCGGCGCCUCUAUCGUACGCACUGGCUUUAUCAUGCCUCUCGUUCAAGAUCGAGCCGCCGAUGUUGUUGGUGGUGUCCGACGUUGUCAGGAUGGCCGACUUGAUGGCAGCCGGUGACCAUUCAGGAUGCAAGCUUUUGAUAAGCGCCGCAACACCACUGACAUGUGGCGUUGCCAUGGACGUGCCCGAUAUGAUUUUGAAAGGGGGACUUGGCCACGCCGCAAGGAUGUUGAGCCCGGGCGCAAGAAUGUCUGGCUUGAGCACACCUGGAGCGACUGAGCUUGGACCCCGGGAAGAGAACGAUGCCACGACCGGGUUCGGACGAACACCCAACACUGUGUUGUUGUAUGUGAAAGUGGCAACGGCGUCGUUCGAUGCUGACUUCGUGUAAGCUGCGAGGGCGAUGCCGUCGGCGAAGGUCACCUGCACCACUCUCGCUUCGUCGAAAUCCUGAAGAAUAAUGGUGUAGCCAGUGGCUUUGUCAUUGAAAAGAACCACGCCAGCCGCACCAUGACCCAUUAACCUCGAAAUGUCAGAAUAGCGAGCCAUGGGUGUUGUGGACUGACAAACAAUUAUUUUCCCGGCAACUGAACCGUAAUACGCAUUCUGGCAGAAACGAUGUUCCUCGGAGUAGAAGAGAGGGUAUGGCUUUGAGGUUGGCUUUAUCGCUGGGGUAAAUGCUUCUCCGUCCAUGCGCUUGCCGUUGCCGAGAUGCACGCCAGCGUCGAAUCUCCGGUCCACUGAGCCAGCGGCAACCGUGAGCAACCACGGUGCACUGUUGGAGACCGACCGUGGAGUGGGACCUUUGUUGCCAGCCGCACACACCACAAUGAUGCCCUUGGAUAUAGCACUGAACGCACCGAUGGCGAUGGGGUCCUUAUUGAAGCUGACACCGGCGAGACUGCUGAGAGAUAGCGAGAGCAUGUCCACCCCAUCCUUGAUGGCCGCAUCCAGGCCGGCCAGUACGGCGGAUUCUUGGCAGCCCUCGGCGGUGCACACCUUGUACAUGGCGAUGUGGGCACCUGGAGCAAUUCCGGAAGCAGUGCCCGUGCCCACGCCAUGGUCUGACGCAUCGGUGACGAAGUUGCCGGCGGCAGUGGACGAGGUGUGUGUUCCGUGCCCCACGUAAUCGUACGAGUCGUCAUCUCCAGUAAAUGAGUUGGCACCGAUGAGCUUGUUGUUGCACCUGACCGCCUUGCACGAGCUCCUCCACCUUGUCGGGGGUGAUUGGACACCAUGAUCGUCGAACGAAGGAUGUGUUGCAUAGAUCCCGGUGUCGAGCAGCCCGAUGACCACUCCCUUCCCGUAGCCUGCGUCGCUCCAAAAUCCGGUGCCGUUCCUCAGCCCGAGGAACUCCGGCGUGUGCGUGGUCAUGAGCUGCAGCGUCCGGUCUGGGAACGCGCGCACGAACCCUGGCUUCUUGGUGACCGCGUCGAGCUCAGCCUCUGUGAGCCUCGCCGCGAAGCCGCUGAACACCUCGAUGUAGGAGUGGAGGAGACGCGGCUCCCCAGAUUCGCCGAUGUGUGAGCUCGGCAAGAAAGUCUCGUACCACCGACGAUGCCCCUCUUCGUUGGUACCUGAGGGAGGUGGCUUGACGAGCACAAUGUAAGUGCGGUAGGCAGAUGCUUGUGUAGCACCCUCAUGUACCCUUGCAACAGAUGGACCGACAUAGCACAGGGAUGGUGUAGGAGAGAAGGUGGCGAGCAAGAGAAGUGGUAGUAGUAUGAUGAGAUUUGUCAAGGACGCCAUUGCUGGAAGCUAGGCACACCUACACAACUGAGGAAGACGAUGGCGAUGGAGUGUCUGUCCGGCCAGCACCCGGUGUUCCUCAUUUAUACAUCACGAAUGAUCAAUGUGCUGCAACUUUCAUGAUGCAGAUGUUAAUCCCUUGAAUAUCUUGCAGUAGUAAAGCAUACAGUAGCUUUAAUAUGUGCAUGCUGAUACACAAAUAUACGAAAUCAAUGCACUACUAUCGUUUUUCUAUCUCCUGCAUGAAUUAUAUAUAUAUUACAAUAUGAGCAGAAAUUUCAGAAAAUCAAUGACUCAAAUUUAAUAUCGUAUAAUAGAUUACCACAUGUUUAUGAUCAGUACUAGUAGUGUAUCUACAGAGUUUAUGUUGUGGGAUAUGUGGGGAGAAAUGCAUGAUCUUUUUCGAUUUUCGGCAUGAUCUUGAAGAUUAUUUCGUGUGGACGCAUUUGGACUAUUGGUUUAAAUUGGAAGAUAAUUCAGGAUUCGAAACCAACAGCUGGUGCUUUAUCAUGAUGUCUUAUAUAUCACCUCACAAAUGACAAUAUCAAAGUGGUGAGAGAUCGGGCGAUAUGUUAUAUAUCGCCUCAUAAAUGAUAAUAUCGCUACAGAUUUAAUCUGCUUAACUAGUAUGAUCAAGCGGCAUUGUUCACUCAGUAUUAAGGACCCUUCACUCAAUCCAUCAUAAUAACGAUCCAUAAUCUGUUUAUGUUUUGGGAUUCAAAUUGUUUACCCUCUAAUGAGAUGACUGUGUUACUACUCAGGGUGGACGACACGGUCCGGUCCAGCGGUCCGGCUCGUGGCCCGCUCGGCUUGGGCCGGCUCGGUCCUGGCCCGCUGAAAAAAUCGGCCGGUCCAAGCUUAGCAAACCAGCCCGACAAAGCUUCGGUCCGGUCCGGGCUUUAACCAAGCCGACCGAGCGGACCGACGAACAUGAGCUGUGGCAUGGCGAGAGCAUGGCGGGGGCAUGUCAGGACGAGGCAGGGGCGUGGCGGGGGCGUGCCCAGGGCGUUGCAGGGGCGUGGCGGGGGCGUGCCCAGGGCGUUGCAGGGGCGUGGCGGGGGCGUGUCGACGUCGUGGCGGGCGCGUGGCGAGCGUGUGGCCAGAGCUGCAUGGCGGGCGCAUGGUGGGCGCGUCGGCCGUGCGUUGGUCUGCGCCGCCGUCGUUCAUCCGCACGGCCACCGGCCUCUCUGACGCUAGAAAGCAUGUCUAGUGGAUGCACCAUGCUCGGAUCUAUCAUCUGGAAGGUAGAACUUGAAGUGGGAGGCCCUACACCGCCAUUGUACACCGGCCGUCGUGCCAGAUUCGUCGUCGCUGUUGCUGCCCGAGCUCUGCCUGGCCGCCGUGCCGUCCAUCGUGAGUCACAGAAGACACUGGACAUCUCCAUGACGAGCCCUGCUGCCUCCAGCGCCCUCCCCGCGUCGCCAUGCUCCAGCGUGUGCUCUGUGGUGAACUCCGGCCGGUCCAAACAAGCCGCUCGAUCCGGCUCGGGCUUCGUCCCUGCCGGUCCGGUACUGAAAACAGGACCAUGAACUGCUCGGUCCGGUCCGGUCCGGACCGCCGACGGCCAGUCCAAAGGACAGCUCGGUCAGGGACCGGACCGGCCCAGACCGUGUCCACCCUGAGUUACUACUGUGAAUUGUUUAAGAUUCAAUCAGCUCCUCUUCUUUCGAGGAGCAUAGCUGAUCCUGAACUCUUUAUUCAUGUCGAAAAUGCAGAAACAUAAACUUGUCCUUGCUAAUGGCCUUGGGCAUGAGGCCAGGAAGAUCAGCUUAACAAUUACCAUAACGUGGUUCCUGAUAAAAACAGCCACUACCAGACAUUCAACAUCUCCGUCUGAUCGAAGUAAGCCGUCACCGAAAGAUGCUUGUGGAGAUUCAUAGUACACAUUCAGAGUUGGAGCCGUCACCAUAAGAUACGGCACCGGCUGGUUGGGCACUGAACUCUUGAUGGGGUUAGCCCACUAUAUAUAAGCUCUUCUUCUUUACAGAUCACUUAACAAUGGCGUCAGUAUAUGGUGUCGUGGUGGCGUCGGUAUCUGCUCUGAAGGUGGAUCGGUGAGAGACGGCGGCGGCAUCCUCUAAGAGUGAGCCGGACUAGUGUGUGCCCCAGACCAAGUAUAUGGCUUGGCUGGGCUUCCGGUUUUAGAUGUUAGUCUUAGGUGCGAGGUCUGUUUGAUAUUAGGCUCGGACUAUUUGCACCCCUUCAUCAAGUGGAUAGAAGUAGCAACAGAUAUUGCCAAGAUGGUGGCUUCAGACUUACUGAUGUACUAUUUUGUAAGGUCUUUAUGAAUAAUUAAUAAAAUGGUUGUAUGCAUCGUCCAGAUGCGGAGGCUGGUGGUCUUCCUCCUUUAAAAAAAAAAAGAGAUUGAUACUGCCAAAACGAGAUACAAAAGAGCAGCAGGAGUAUAUAGCAAAUUAACGUCCCAAUCAGCCAGUUUGUUUGCAUUGUUCCUUAUUCGACAAAAGGUCACACGAAUUGAACAACUCUAGAAAGGUUACAAGUUUCUGCAGUUCUUAGUAAAACUUACAUCAAAAAAACAUACUAAGACGACACAUAUCUUGUUCCAUUACCACUGCUUUAUCUGACAAAAACAUCCAUCAGUAAUGGAGCGGGGCAGGACCUCCUGCUCCACGGAUGACGACAAUGAGGGGCCAACUACUAUAGAAUCUGAGCUUGCUGUGAAAAAAUAGAAAAAGAAAUCUGGACCAUCGGAUGCAGCAUGAUCGGUACAGAUGGAGGCAGAGGGUUCUCAAUGCACAUUUUAAGAAACCCCCCUGUUAUUAGGUACAUAUACAGGAUGACUUUUGCAAUAACCACCCUCAGAUAUCAAUAAUUAUGCCUGUCAUAAAUAAGACAUUGUACAAAACUGUACAGGUAUCCGUCUCUUAGGUUUUAAAAAAAUUGCACAUAUGUACGGCAUGAAACUUCUUGUAGAUUUGAUUUAAGUAGUAGCUUCUGCUACAUCAGUAAAUAUGCAAGAAAUCCAGACAUAUUGGUGACUAGAAAGUACAUGACAAAUUUAACCACCCACUUCAAGCAUACCUAAGCAUACAUUUCAAACCUGACGAUCCCAUAUAAGACACAAACAGAAGAGAUACAUACAUAUCAAAUGCUACAUAGCAUGAGAGGAUUACUUUUGUUACAACACGGGCAAGACUAAGUAGACUAAAAUAAUCACAACCCAACAAGCACGGCCAUUAAAAGCUGCAUUACUAUCUUGGUGGUACAUCACAUAAAAGCUACAGCCUUUGCAUCUUGUGCUUCAUGCUCACCGAGUGCUUCUUGCUCAUUGAGCUUCUUGUGCUGCUAAUCCCAGUUUGUAUCUGCUAAUGAACUGCAUUGCUAUCUUCAUGGUACACAACACAAACACAGCAUGACAAAUCAGAGGGAGGAAAUGAACUAAUCUCGGUGUAUUUGCUAAGAAAAUAAGCAAUGCGCCUAAAGCCUUCAUGGCAACAUUAUCGAUUAGAGAAUAAACUUACAUCGUCCGAUAGUAUGGCAUGAAUGAAAUCAGAAAUUAGGGUACCUUCCGCAUUAGAAACAAGGGCACGAGCCAUAUUACUUUCCCUAGGAGAAAGAACAAACGAAAUAGAAGUAAAGCUACAAGAUAUAUGCGCCUUUUCUUUUUAAUUGCACUUCAGUACAGAGAAAAUCUAUCUUGGCAUCCAGCACUGUCAUUAUUUAAAUUGGUUAAAAACUGAUGGUAUGACUUGCAUUUAUCACCUAAAGAAAUUGCAAUUACAGAUGCUUACUAGCAAGUCCUGAAAUGGUGCGCAUUGCAGUAUUCCAGCAUUGAAAUUUCUUUAUUGUCUUACUAAAGUCUUGAUUUUAAUUUCUGCAGAGGAACUGGAACACUUUCUAGCUAGAAUUGUUCAACGUAUAUGGAAGGUUGUUCUUCUGGUACGUCCAACAAGUUAUACAACAAGCUUUGCAUCAAUGAUUACUGCCAGCAAAUUUCACCCAUCAGUGCCUGGUGUUCAUGAACUCCAGAAGAAUGGACAAUAUGUAGGGUUCCACCAAGGUUUCUAUGAAAAGGGUCUACUGCUGGAGAUUGGUUUUGCACUUUUGAUACAUAAAAAAUCAGGGCCUAUGCUACAUCUGCCGAUUUCUAUAGUACUUUUUCUAAUGGAAGCAUUGCUGUGAUUGUACAUGAUGUUCCAUACAUCUAACUUUUUCUCGCAAAGUACAACAAAGGUUACAGUGGUGUCGCUGUCGCCUAUUUACAGGAGCGCAUACUUUGCAUUUGUGAGUUUAAGUACACUGACUAUUCUCUUGAAAAGUUUGCUACUGAAGCAUGCAAAUGUUAAGCUUAUGUGUUCCUCUUGAUUCUAGCCAUAUCACCACAAGAUUGCAUUUAUAAAAAAUCAAAUUUAGAGACGGAAGGGUGUGCCUAGAACUGGAAAAUUUUAAUACAAUCCAUCUAUUAUAUGAACUGGUAAAAUCUAUCUUCAUCUUCACAAUAAAAAUGAGCUUACUGUCCCAUCAAGUUUUCAACCAAUGGCUGCAUAUUGCGACAACAAACUUAGCAACCGCAGGUAGUAAUUAUAUUUUUUAUUGAGUUGUCCUAAAAUCGAGGAUUUAUCUACCCAUCUGCAACCUUCCAACUUGGUUAUCUAAGUAAUUACCGGUGAAACAGAACUUUCAAAAUAGACUACCAAACCACUAAGAACAGUAGCAAUACAUCAUCAAAUUGAAGUUAUAAAAUGGCAUCUUCCCAUAUGAGCAGUGACAUGGAAAAGUACAGGAAAACAGAACUGGAGAUGGCAUCACCUGCUUGCAGCCGACGAGGUGAAGGAGGAAGCGACGAACCCACCGCUCCUGGAACCUCGGAUGGGGAGGCAGUGACCAGUGACGAGCACAAAGUAGGGCGGAGCUUAGUAGCCGGCGAGCUCGGAUCUGCUCUGCAUAACCGGGUGGGCGGCGACACAACGGCCAGGAGUCAUCCGAUCUGCUCCUCUCCGAUCUGAUCAGCUCUGAGGUGCUUCCCCACUGGAACACGCCUCCAUUGGUCGUACUCGCCCAGCUCUUGGUUGAGGGAUCUGGGCCGCCGCCGCCGCCGCAGGAGGAAUUUUAGAUCGUGCGUGUGUCGGUGCAUCGGGGAAUCGGGUUUGGGUCUGAAUGAUUAGGACGACGGGAGCAAAUUAACUCUCAGGCAGGGACCUAUUUGCAAACUUGUAGUCAGAGAUUGCUCCACCCGAAUCUGAGCCAUCAAUAUGCCAUCCAAUGGUCCAAACUCAUUUUUUCUAUUCUUCACAGUAGGCUCAGAUUCUAUAGUAGUUGCCCCCCGACAAUGAGACUGCGCACAACACGCUUCUUCAACGCCUAGCUCAAGCUUCCCUCCACAAAGAUUCCUGGUGCACCCACGCCUUGGCAGUUCACUGACACCUUGAACGUCUUCUUUUCCCCAGCCUUGAUGAGGCAGACCGGCGGUGGCAUCAAUGGAGGCAGGGGAACCCUAAUUGCCUGUGCGCGGGAGUCGUGCAAGAGGCGCUUAAGAUUGUCCUCUCUGCUAAUACCCAUGUGGGAGACCAGACAUGUGCAUGUUGAUACACAAUGAUCUGGCCUGGAACGAUAAGGAAAUAUCAAUCCACUGAGAUCGCUUUUCUAUGAAAGACUCAAAUUUAACAUGAUAUAGAUCAAUGCCCGUGAUAUAUAGUAUAGGUAUUGUCGGAUGAAUGGCAACUGACUUUACUGAGGGCCAAAGGCCAAUACAUAUACAUGUGUGGUAAAGUGCAGUAAACCCCUUAUACAAUGGGGAUAUACCGAAAAGAGACUAUACACAUCUAACACCCCCCCCCCUCAAACUCAUGGUGGAUCAACAACACUGAGUUUGGGGAGGAAAAAGGUAUGCUGCGCUCGAGUCUGUGCCUUCGUGAAGAAGUCAGCCAACUGUAACUCAGAGGGCACGUAGUGAAGAGCGAGAGUCUGAUCCUGGACAGCAGCACGCACAAAGUGGGCAUCCACACCGAUGUGCUUGGUGAGCUCGUGCUUCACCGGGUCACGCGCAAUACUGAUAGCACCAGUACUGUCUGACAGUAAGGGAGUCGAGGUAGUAGCAGACACACCAAAAUCCUCAAGUAACCAUCGUAACCAGAUCACCUCAGCUGUCAACAUAGCCAUGGCACGCAGCUCAGCCUCUGUACUCGAGCGAGAAACUGCAGUCUGUUUCUUGGUCUUCCAGGCAAUAAGAGAGCCAUCAAGAAAGACACAGUAAGCAGACAAUGAGCGUCGAUCAGAGGGAUCACUAGCCCAGGUAGCAUCAGAGUAAGCCUGGAGCUCAAGAGAACUGAAGCAGGGAAAGAAAAGACGCUGAGAGAUCGUGCCACGAAGAUAUCGUAGAACAUGGAGAAGGUGACUAUAAUGGACAGAGGUGGGGGCUGAAACAAACUGACUCAGGAUGUGAACGAGAUAGGAGAUGUCAGGACGCAUAACAGCAAGAUAGACAAGGCUACCAACAAGGUGACGAUAGCGAGUGGGAUUAGGAAGAGGGUCACCAUCAGAGGCACGAAGCUGAACGUUGAGCUCCAUAGGAGUCACAACAGUGCGGUCAUCACUGAGAGCAGCUCGAGCAAGAAGAUCCUGAAUAUAUUUCUCUUGAGAGAUGUAGAAGCCAUCAGAGGUCGAGGAGAUCUCAAUCCCAAGAAAAAAGCGAAGAGGACCAAGAUCAGUCAUGAGGAACUGGUCAUGAAGGCGAGCCUUAACAAAGGCAAUGUAGUCAGAGUCGUCACCAAUGAUGAUCAUGUCAUCAACAUAAAGAAGGAGAAGGGUACGACCACGAGGAGACGUGUGAACAAACAACGCGGGAUCAUGAUCACUUGGCAAGAAACCAGCGGCAGUCACCACAGAGGAAAAACGCUCAAACCAAGCGCGAGGGUCCUGUUUAAGACCAUAGAGGGAGCGCCCAAGUCGACAGACCAUACCGUCAGGAGCAUAAUACCCCGGUGGGGGCUGCAUGUAAACCUCCUCACGCAGCUCGCCAUUGAGAAAGGCGUUCUGGACAUCAAGUUGAGAGAUAGACCACUGACGAACAGAAGCCACCGCAGGGAGAGUGCGGACAGUGGUCAUGUGAGCCACAGGAGCGAAUGUCUCAUCAUAGUCGCGUCCCUACUCCUGCUGAAAACCACGAGCCACAAGACGAGCUUUGUAGCGCUCAAGAGAACCAUCGGAACGAGUCUUAACCUUGUAGACCCACUUGUAGGUGAUGGGACGAACACCGGAAGGGAGGGAAACCUGCUCCCAUGUGCCAGAGUGCUCAAGGGCAGCAAGUUCUUCGACCAUCGCAAGCUGCCAUUCAGGUUGAGUCAUGGCAGUCCGAUAGGAAGUGGGCUCAGCAAUGACAGAGAGACCAUACCGAUCAGGAGAGUAGCAAUCAGGCGGGGGGCGAGGCCGAUCCCGGAGAUUGUGAACCGGGGGAGGCGUGAGAAGAGGUGCACCAGAGGUGGAAGGCACGUCAGAGGAGGCAUCCUCAGGACGAGGGCGACGAGUAUAGUGGAGAGGGAACGGUGAGAGAGGGCGAUGAACUGGGGAUGAUGGCGAGAAGGUGGAUGAGAAGGAUGGAGAAGGUGGGGUCGGUGGUGAAGGAGAAGGAAUGAGGAAUGGUGGAGGAAGAGAUCACACAGAAGGCACAUAGCAAGGUGUAUCGGGAAGGAGAAGGAAAGAGAGAUCAUCCACAGAGAAACUCGAGAAAGAAGGACGUGGGUAGUAGGAACAAGACUCGUCAAAAGUCACAUCACGCGAGAUGCGCAGGCGACGACCCACAGGAUCCCAACAUCAAUAGCCCUUGUACUCAUCACUGUAACCAAGAAAAAUACACUCAACCGACUGAGCAGACAGUUUGGUGCGUUCUCGGGGGGCAAGAAGAACAUAGCAUAUGCAGCCAAACAUACGGAGAGCGGAGUAGUCAGGAAAGCAACCAGUGAGGCAUUCCAGAGGAAUACCACCCUCAAGGCAGUCGAUGGCUGAAUGUUGAUGAGAUAGGUGGAUGCAGAAACAGUCUCAGCCCAAAAAUGGGGUGGAAGAGAAGCAGCAAUCAUCAUCGCACGAGCGGUCUCAAGCAAAUGACGAUGCUUACGUUCAGCAACACCAUUCUAAGCAUGAGCACCAGGACAAGAGAACUGGGCAAGAGUACCCUGUUCCGCGAGAAAACCACGCAACAGCUGGGAGAUAAACUCUCCAGCGGAGUCAGCACGAAAAGUACAAAUGGGCAUGAAAAACUGGGUGUGAACCAUGGCAGCAAAUCGUUUGUAUAUAGAGAGAACCUCACCACGAGAUUUCAUGAAGUAGAGCCAAGUGUAGCGAGAGAAAUCAUCAAUAAAUAGGACAUAGUAACGAUGACCACCUUUCGAAUCAAAGGGAGCAGGAUCCCAAACAUCAAAAUGAACUAAGUCAAAAUGACGCUGAGAUACCGACUCACUGGUGGGAUAAGGUAACUGCGUCUGUUUGCCCAGUUUGCAACCAUUACAAUGUAAAGAAACAUCUCCAGAUACAGACCCUAAGAGGCCCUGAUGGACUAAAGAAGACAAGCGAGAGCCACAGAGGUGACCAAGGCGAUGAUGCCACUGUUGGAAGGAUGCAGACGAAGAGGCAGCAAGAGCAUGGGAGCUGGCAGAAGUGGUGGCAGCGGAAGGAACACAAAGCCAGUCGGCCUCCCAAAGACCCUCUGACUCACGGCGCCGAGGGCCAGCACCAACCAAAGCCUUGGUGCGAUGAUCCUGAAUAGAGCAAGAGUCGGUAUCAAGAAUGACACGACAACCAGAAUCAGUAAGUUGGGCAGCAGAAAAAAAAUUCAUGGUAAGACGAGGAACAUGUGAAACACUCGGAACCGAAAAGGAAGGAGUGGAAAGAAUACCACGACUAGCAACAGGGAGAGGUGUGUCAUCGGCGGUAAGAACAUUAACAUGCGAAUCAAGAGGUCGAAGAGAAGACAGCGCGGAAGAAUCAGGAGACAUAUGAAAAGAAGCUCCAGAAUCAAGAACCCACGAGGAUGUACAUGACUGUGUAGGUGGCUGCGAUGGUGAUGAAGGGGAUGCAGUCACUGCAGCAACAGAACCAGUCGACGAGGAGCCGGAUGAACCAAGUAGACGCUUGAGGCGUACAAUGUCCUGAUCAGUGAGGGACGGAGUCGAGGAAGACACAGGAGUCCCACUAGAAGGGGUGCGCCUCUGGUCUCGCUUCUUCUGGCGACAAUCAGACUCUGGGUGACCUGACCGAGAGCAGUAACCACAGAAGGUGUCACGGCACAACGUGCCCUUCUCAGCAUAAGGAGGACGACUGACCUCCCCCUGGAGGAGUAGGCAGGAGCGGCGGAGCAGUGAGGCGAGCAGACGUCACAGGAGCUCGGGCGGCCAGCACUGACGGAACCAGAAGCAACCCAGCAGAGCGAAGGCGAGUCUCCUCAGCAUGAAGCUCGGCAAGUACCUCCGAGAUAGGAACACGACCACGAGCAAGCAAGUGAGCACGUCGAGGCUCAAACUUAGACCGGAGACGAGAUAAGAACUCAUGAACCCGCUGAAACUCCAGAUCAGACUGAGUAGUCUGACAGCAACGACAGGUUCCACAAACAACUGUCCGAAGAGAGUCAAGCUGGCGCCAGAUGGCAGAGCACUGUGAAUAGAACUCAUCAACAGAAGAAUCACCUUGCUGAAGUGCAUGCUCCUGACGUACCACAGAUAGGUAGAGAGCAUCACCAGAGGGCUGAUAGCGCUGACACAGAUAAGACCACAUCGCUGCAACUGUGCCAAGUCCCAUGAACUCCGAAGCAAACAGAGGGAGAACACUCGCAGUGAGAACAGCAGCCGCUCGAGCAUCAUCAUUGCACCACUGAGUGUAAGCAGACAGAUCAUCCCGGUAGACAGAAAGAGCAUCAGAAUAGGCAGAUACCUGCUGAUCAUAAGUAUCAACUGCAGCAUCAUCAAGAGUCUUGGAUGCAUCCCAAUCAGCCUGAGAAGCAUCAGCAGCAAUCACCGGCGGUACUGGCGGAAUAGGCGCCACCAGAGUAACAGGGCACGGCGGACAGGGUACCUCGUCAGAGAGAACACCCCACAGCAGAAGACCGCACAUAUGAAUACGCAUGAAACCGGCGAACUCAUCAUAGUUGGUGCCAUCAAAGAUCACCGAGCAGCGAGGAACAGCCACAUAGCCCGAAGAUGACAUACUGAGGUAUCCCUUUGUGCUGUUUCUGCCUUCUCUCUCUCUCUCUCUUUUUUGAAGUCAACGUGUACAGGAAAACCCAAUCGGGAUCGGGAUCGAGAGAAACACGAGCGCUCGGCGCUCACUCACGCCCUCGCUCGGGCAAUCGAGGCGAGCGGGGUCAGCGGCUCGAGCUCGAGCAGAGCGGGCAGGUUGGGGACCCCCGCGCGAAGCAGAGCAGGCGGGUUGGGGACCCCCGCUCGAAGCAGAGCAGCAGCCCCGCUCGAAGCAGAACUCGAGCUGAGCAGGCCCGAUGGAACAGCCCCCGCGCGGAGAACUCGAGCGGCGGCCAGCCUCGAGCGAAGCCGAAACGGAGCAGGGAAGCAACAGCGGCCCGGCGGCAGGAGUUCCGGGGCGGACGGAUUCGUCGAGAGGAGGGCCAGAACGGCCGGAGCCGCAGCGAGAAGGUCCGGGACGGACGGAUUCGCGGAGAGGAGAGCCGGGACGGCCGGAUCCGCGGCAAGAAGAGCCGGACCUGGCAGUGGGCGAAUCGGGGGAGGAGCUAGCACGGAGUUGCAGCGUGCAGGAAAGAAGGGAACCUAACAUCUGAUACCAUGUUGGAUGAAUGGCAUCUGACUUUACUGAGGGCCAAAGGCCAAUACAUAUACAUGUGUGGUAAAGUGCAGUAAACCCCUUAUACAAUGGGGAUAUACCGAAAAGAGACUAUACACAUCUAACAGGUAUCAUGUCAUAAAUGUCAAUAUAGUAGUAGUGACAGAAAUGAGAUCAGGUGAGGUCGAACUGAUCACCAAAUUGAAACGGCUAUUUUCAGCACCUUUUCUUGGUGUGACUGUGCUAAAGACUUAAUGAUCUAUUAGUGUAUUAGUACUGAUGAUCGAGUGGCAUUUUACUGGCCUUAUUAGUGGAUGGACGUUCAGUUUCUACUACUUGUUGUCUUCUUAACACAUAUAUUUAUGCAGUCCUGUUGUGUGUGGUUCAGCAAUGUAGAGGUGUCAUCUACAUUGAAGGCCCUUUAGUCAAUUCAAACCAGCUACUGUGAAAUCUUUAGGAUUCAAUCAGCUCCUCUUUCUUUGAUGAGUGGUAUCUAACCACUAUGCAGGAGUUGUCCUGAACCCUAUUUGUGUCCAACAUACAAGACCAGAACGGCUAAUAGCUUUAGUCCAUUCUAUCCGCUCAAACAUUCAAGCAGUCCGAAUACUGGUUUUGCUGACAUGGAUCCAAAUCAGCGUGUCAUUUUGGGAUGUGACAAGCCACUUGAGAAAAAUUUGCCGCAUUAGCCCAUCUUUCUCCCUGUUAAAUGUUUGGGUUGAAGCACAAGUUCAGUAAAUCGGUAGAAACUUGACUUUAAUCAAAGCUGAAAGUCGGAAAGGUGUCAAAUAGGAAGUUUUCGGUUCAGUUUGAAAAUUCAAGAGCCUACAGGGUGAUUGUUGUGCCUCAGCAGUCUUGAGAGUUUAACUACAGAUUGUCCGUACUCUACACACACAACUGAGCCUAUAUUUCACUUGUUUGUACUGUUCCUUAUCCGACAAGAGGUUAUAAGGAUUAAACAACAACAGAAUGUCACAAGAUUCUGAAGUUCUUAGUAAAACUUUUAUUAGAAAAACAAACUGAGACGACACAAUCACACAAAUCUUAUUCCAUUGCCAUGUUUGAUCUGACACAAAAAAACACUAAGCCUGAAAUCUCAGGGCAUGGACAUCGUUCAUGGUGAUGGAGCGGGAGCAUGACCUCCUGCUCCAUGGACGGCGACAAUGGGACUACGCACAACAUGCUUCUUCGACACCCAGCUCAAGCUUCCCUCCACAAAGGUUUCCG
Molecule: long non-coding RNA, 14476 nt
Filed under: Triticum aestivum (bread wheat)
Lineage: Eukaryota; Viridiplantae; Streptophyta; Magnoliopsida; Poales; Poaceae
Description: long non-coding RNA (TAES_LNC020139)
Source: RNAcentral